RNAcentral lists this transfer RNA (74 nucleotides) under Felis catus (domestic cat). It matches the Rfam family "tRNA". From Rfam's summary of the family: Transfer RNA (tRNA) molecules are approximately 80 nucleotides in length. Their secondary structure includes four short double-helical elements and three loops (D, anti-codon, and T loops). The record is from Rfam by way of RNAcentral. Lineage: Eukaryota; Metazoa; Chordata; Mammalia; Carnivora; Felidae. RNAcentral also lists the same sequence under 3 other names.
GCCUAGGUGGCUUAGUUGGUUAAGCGUCUGACUCUUGAUCUCACAGUUUGUGGGUUCGAGCCCCGUGUCAGGCU